RNAcentral lists this transfer RNA (68 nucleotides) under Odontobutis obscura. RNAcentral's name for it is "tRNA-Cys". Lineage: Eukaryota; Metazoa; Chordata; Actinopteri; Gobiiformes; Odontobutidae. The record is from RNAcentral.
GGCCCAACGAGGUGUGAAACACAUAGGAUUGCAAAUCCUGAGUAGCAGGUUUUCGCCUGCCUGGGCUU